Trachymyrmex septentrionalis is the source of this 1065-nucleotide long non-coding RNA. RefSeq lists it as uncharacterized. The transcript is spliced from 3 exons. The record is from RefSeq and is a predicted model, not a curated record. NCBI's taxonomy places the organism in Eukaryota, Metazoa, Arthropoda, Insecta, Hymenoptera, Formicidae.
CAAGCAAACGACAUCGUUAUUACCGCCGCGCCGCGCCGCGCCGCGCCGGAAGGAUGAAAAUACGGUCGGCCGAUUGGCCAUUGCACUCGACGAUGCACCGCGAGACAGAAUCGACCCUCCACCUUCUCUCUCCUCUGCUCGUUUUGCCUUUUUUUUCUUAGUGACUGUGUAACCACUCCCUGCCCGGUUCUGUCGGACGUUCGCCACAGUUCACCGUCUGCAAGAACGCACCGACCUACCGUGAAUCGUCACGCACGAUCGACGCAAUCGGUACAACACAUCGGUUAUAGUUUGUUCUUCUUUCUUCACGACGGUUGAGCUCCCAGUGAUUUAUAAAAUUGACACGAGAAUAAAAAAUCAAAAAAUCGUGGCAAAACUUCGUAAAAUGGGCAAUGAGUGGAUUUGCGGAAUGAGGAACGACCCCUUGAACGAUAAUCUUUUUCAGUAUUGUGGCGAGAGAAAAGUGGUUUCUAUGUCACUGACGAGGAAAUACCAACAACGCAAGCGCGGUACGUUUAAGAAAAAUCCAUCCUGUACAUUGGAUCGAAGGUAAAUUUUUGACUAUGUCCCAACAAUGCUCAAUACGAUUUAUGAUGGUGGGGGUUCAGAUUAAUCGUAUCGAAGAUAUAUCGAAGGUUACCAAGAUGACCUUCACUAAUGCAGUCGACUAAACCAAGAAUACAUCUUUCAUUCAAGAUCACGGCCAAUAUAUUGUAAUGGAAAUGACCUUUAUCGACUGGGAGAUCUCAUCGCGAUUUACAGUCUGGCGAGCGUCUGCGCGCGAUCGGCGGAUCGUAAUGUUCGAUCACGGUCACAAUUCGCGCCUAUUCGAGCAACUAAAAAAGACGAAUAACACACCAUGAAAUGUGAACAACACACGCAAGUAAAAAAGGAGACAAAGAAGAGGAAGAUAAAAGGUCAAAGGCGAACCUACUUCAACGACUUGGAGAUCAGAGACUAAACAAGUUCUUUUUUUACAUGCCGAGUUUGGACGGAGAAGCAUUCUUGUGACAAUCUUAAACAUUAGUUCACAGAUUGUAUCCGUCCAAAAGUAUAACAUUUUAU